Molecule: ribosomal RNA, 253 nt
Filed under: uncultured bacterium
Lineage: Bacteria
Description: partial 16S ribosomal RNA
Rfam family: Bacterial small subunit ribosomal RNA
Source: RNAcentral
UACGUAGGUGACGAGCGUUAUCCGGAAUUACUGGGCGUAAAGCGCGCGCAGGCGGUUCUACAAGUCUGGCGUGAAAUUCUCUGGCUUAACCAGGGGCGGUCGCUGGAGACUGUAGGACUUGAGGCGAUGAGAGGGGUGCAGAAUUCCCGGUGUAGUGGUGGAAUGCGUAGAUAUCGGGGGGAAUACCAGUGGCGAAAGCGGCACCCUGGCGUCGUACUGACGCUCAUGUGCGAAAGCGUGGGGAGCGAACGGG